AGCAGCCGCGGUAAUUCCAGCUCCAAUAGCGUAUAUUAAAGUUGUUGCAGUUAAAAAGCUCGUAGUUGAAUUUCGGGAUCAGUUGGUCGGUCGUGCCUCGGUACGUACUGGUCAAAUUGAUUCCUACCUUCUGACGAACCACGAUGUCAUUAAUUUGGUGUCGCGGGAAAUCAGGACUGUUACUUUGAAAAAUUAGAGUGUUUAAAGCAGGCUCGCGCUUGAAUACAUUAGCAUGGAAUAAUGAAAUAGGACGUUUGAUUCUAUUUUGUGGUUUCUAGGAUCGACGUAAUGAUUAAUAGGGAUAGUUGGGGGCAUUAGUAUUCAAUUGUCAGAGGUGAAAUUCUUGGAUUUAUUGAAGACUAACUACUGCGAAAGCAUUUGCCAAGGAUGUUUUCAUUAAUACAAGAACGAAAGUUAGGGGAUCGAAGACGAUCAGAUACCGUCGUAGUCUUAACCAUAAAUUAUAGCCGACUAGGGAUCGGAUGAUGUUAAUUUUAU
This 498-nucleotide ribosomal RNA is filed under the name uncultured Glomus. RNAcentral's name for it is "SSU rRNA". It matches the Rfam family "Eukaryotic small subunit ribosomal RNA", at positions 569 to 1072 of the family's 1831-position model. Lineage: Eukaryota; Fungi; Glomeromycota; Glomeromycetes; Glomerales; Glomeraceae. The record is from RNAcentral.